RNAcentral lists this ribosomal RNA (425 nucleotides) under uncultured bacterium. RNAcentral describes it as "bacterial SSU rRNA". It matches the Rfam family "Bacterial small subunit ribosomal RNA", at positions 354 to 796 of the family's 1533-position model. The record is from RNAcentral.
GUGGGGAAUUUUGCGCAAUGGGCGAAAGCCUGACGCAGCGACGCCGCGUGGGGGAUGAAGGCCUUCGGGUUGUAAACUCCUUUUCCGGGGGAAGAUAAUGACGGUACCCCGGGAAUAAGCCACGGCUAACUCUGUGCCAGCAGCCGCGGUAAGACAGAGGUGGCAAGCGUUGUUCGGAAUUACUGGGCUUAAAGGGCGCGUAGGCGGCAGCGCAAGUCUGGAGUGGAAUACCGCGGCUUAACCGCGGAACUGCUUUGGAAACUGCGUUGCUUGAGUCAGUGAGGGGAGGGCGGAAUUCCUGGUGUAGCAGUGAUAUGCGUAGAUAUCAGGAGGAAGGCCUGUGGCGAAGGCGGCCCUCUGGCGCUUGACUGACGCUGAGGCGCGAAAGCGUGGGUAGCAAACAGGAUUAGAAACCCCGGUAGUCC